This 98-nucleotide ribosomal RNA is filed under the name Fasciola gigantica. RNAcentral describes it as "partial 28S ribosomal RNA". It matches the Rfam family "Eukaryotic large subunit ribosomal RNA", at positions 1 to 99 of the family's 3401-position model. The record is from RNAcentral. Lineage: Eukaryota; Metazoa; Platyhelminthes; Trematoda; Plagiorchiida; Fasciolidae.
UGACCUCGGUUCAGACGUGAUUACCCGCUGAACUUAAGCAUAUCACUAAGCGGAGGAAAAGAAACUAACCCAGGAUCCCAAAAUAUAAAAAAGAAAAG